GAAAUGUCCGUAGAAGUCUCGGCCUUCUUUUCCUUUGUUUUAGGAGAAGAGGAUGCUUGAAAUUAGUAAGUGGGCCCGGCAUCGAUUGGAUGUCGGAAAAAUCACAGGACCUGUCAGGGAUUUCGAGGAAUUCGGGGCAGGUCCUGUCAAUAAAUUUCAAGUUUCAAGUUUGAUUCAAGAUUCAUGAUCUUAUUCAUUAUGCCUACCUACCUAUAUGCUAAUCUAAAUGCCUAGCUACAAUUAAGAUUUGUG
Molecule: long non-coding RNA, 252 nt
Filed under: Prunus persica (peach)
Lineage: Eukaryota; Viridiplantae; Streptophyta; Magnoliopsida; Rosales; Rosaceae
Description: long non-coding RNA (PPER_LNC007703)
Source: RNAcentral